Non-coding RNA from Trichonephila inaurata madagascariensis, 72 nucleotides. The record is from the annotation of a GenBank genome assembly. NCBI's taxonomy places the organism in Eukaryota, Metazoa, Arthropoda, Arachnida, Araneae, Nephilidae.
GUUCCUGUAGCGAAUUGAUAUCGCAUUAGACUUCUAAUCCAAAGGUCGUGGGUACGAAUCCCACCUGGGAUG